Molecule: ribosomal RNA, 497 nt
Filed under: uncultured bacterium
Lineage: Bacteria
Description: partial 16S ribosomal RNA
Rfam family: Bacterial small subunit ribosomal RNA
Source: RNAcentral
GACGAACGCUGGCGGCGUGCCUAAUACAUGCAAGUUGAGCGCUGAAGGUUGGUACUUGUACCAACUGGAUGAGCAGCGAACGGGUGAGUAACGCGUGGGGAAUCUGCCUUUGGGCGGGGGACAACAUUUGGAAACGAAUGCUAAUACCGCAUAAAAACUUUAAACACAAGUUUUAAGUUUGAAAGAUGCAAUUGCAUCACUCAAAGAUGAUCCCGCGUUGUAUUAGCUAGUUGGUGAGGUAAAGGCUCACCAAGGCGAUGGUACAUAGCCGACCUGAGAGGGUGAUCGGCCACAUUGGGACUGAGACACGGCCCAAACUCCUACGGGAGGCAGCAGUAGGGAAUCUUCGGCAAUGGACGAAAGUCUGACCGAGCAACGCCGCGUGAGUGAAGAAGGUUUUCGGAUCGUAAAACUCUGUUGGUAGAGAAGAACGUUGGUGAGAGUGGAAAGCUCAUCAAGUGACGGUAACUACCCAGAAAGGGACGGCUAACUACGUG